RNAcentral lists this ribosomal RNA (320 nucleotides) under uncultured eukaryote. RNAcentral describes it as "partial 18S ribosomal RNA". It matches the Rfam family "Eukaryotic small subunit ribosomal RNA", at positions 1470 to 1796 of the family's 1831-position model. The record is from RNAcentral.
CCCCUAGAUGUUCUGGGCCGCACGCGCGCUACACUGAACAGUUCAACAAGUCUUAACCUUGGCCGAUAGGUCUGGGUAAUCUUUGAACGCUGUUCGUGAUUGGGAUAGACCUUUGCAAUUAUGGGUCUUCAACGAGGAAUUCCUAGUAAACGCAAGUCAUCAGCUUGCAUUGAUUACGUCCCUGCCCUUUGUACACACCGCCCGUCGCACCUACCGAUUGAAUGGUCCGGUGAAACCUCGGGACGGCGGCUUGGUCGCUUGCGUCCGACUGCUGAAACUUGAUUAAACCAUAUCAUUUAGAGGAAGGUGAANUCGUAACA